ACAUGAUGUUGUUAUCCAGUCCUACACCGGUUCAGGGAAGACCCUUGCCUAUCUUCUGCCCAUACUCUCCCAAGUGGGCCCUCUGAGGAAUGCUGCUCCUGAGGAACAAUCAGACUUGAAGCCUGGGAUCGACGCAGUGAUUGUCGCACCUUCAAGGGAGUUGGGGAUGCAGAUUGUGAGAGAAGUGGAGAGGCUCUUGGGGCCCAGUUAUAAAAGAUAUGUACAGCAGCUCGUGGGAGGCGCUAACCGUUCGAGGCAGGAGGAGGCUUUGAAGAAGAACAAGCCCGGGAUCGUUGUGGGCACCCCCGGACGGAUUGCAGAGAUCUCUGCUGCUGGGAAGCUGCACACACACGGCUGCCGUUUCUUGGUGUUGGACGAAAUCGACCAGCUCCUGGCC
Molecule: long non-coding RNA, 397 nt
Filed under: Spirodela polyrhiza (greater duckweed)
Lineage: Eukaryota; Viridiplantae; Streptophyta; Magnoliopsida; Alismatales; Araceae
Description: long non-coding RNA (SPOL_LNC000306)
Source: RNAcentral